UACGUAGGUGGCAAGCGUUGUCCGGAUUUAUUGGGUUUAAAGGGUGCGCAGGCGGAUAUGUAAGUCAGUGGUGAAAUCUUUGGGCUUAACCCGAAAAUUGCCAUUGAUACUAUAUAUCUUGAAUGCUGUGGAGGUAAGCGGAAUAUGUCAUGUAGCGGUGAAAUGCUUAGGGAUGACAUAGAACACCUAUUGCGAAGGCAGCUUACUACGCAGAUAUUGACGCUCAUGCACGAAAGCGUGGGGAUCAAACAGG
This 253-nucleotide ribosomal RNA is filed under the name uncultured bacterium. RNAcentral describes it as "partial 16S ribosomal RNA". It matches the Rfam family "Bacterial small subunit ribosomal RNA", at positions 524 to 776 of the family's 1533-position model. The record is from RNAcentral.